Otolemur garnettii (small-eared galago) is the source of this 107-nucleotide small nuclear RNA. NCBI's taxonomy places the organism in Eukaryota, Metazoa, Chordata, Mammalia, Primates, Galagidae. The record is from Ensembl.
GUGCUUGCUUUGGCAGGACAUAUACUAAAAUUGGAAUGAUACAGAGAAGAUUAGCAUGGCCCCUGCACAAGGAUGACACGCAAAGUCAUGAAGCAUUCCAUAUUUAA